CUCACCGGUCACAAGAUAGACAAAACUAUCAACACCACCAUCUAGCUAUCAAAAUUACAUCUAAUAUAAUUAAAAUAAGAUGAGGUUUGCUCUGGCUCUACUCCCAGUGACCCUCGCCUUACUCAUGCUAGCAUCAGAUGCAAAUGAAGAACAAUGCACGACGGUAACCAAGAAAAAGUUUGGUGGGUGUUUGCAAGGUGCCUGUGAGGACGACUGCCAUGAAUUGGAGAAGAGGCACUACCCUGCCCUGAUGCCGAGUGUGUUCAUAAGGGGUGCAAGUGCACCUUCUGCAGAUAUCCUUGGGGAAAACAAAUAGGAGUGUAAAGCCUACAAGAUCCAGAUUUUAAUGGCCAACUAAGUACAGUGUUUAGCUAGUGAUGAGGAGGGACAUUAAAUCGACCCAGUUGACAGUGAC
Brachypodium distachyon (stiff brome) is the source of this 415-nucleotide long non-coding RNA. RefSeq lists it as uncharacterized. Lineage: Eukaryota; Viridiplantae; Streptophyta; Magnoliopsida; Poales; Poaceae. The record is from RefSeq and is a predicted model, not a curated record. The transcript has 3 exons.